RNAcentral lists this ribosomal RNA (476 nucleotides) under uncultured organism. Its description in RNAcentral is "partial 16S ribosomal RNA". It matches the Rfam family "Bacterial small subunit ribosomal RNA", at positions 332 to 799 of the family's 1533-position model. The record is from RNAcentral.
UACACUCCUACGGGAGGCAGCAGUGGGGAAUUUUGGACAAUGGGGGCAACCCUGAUCCAGCAAUGCCGCGUGAGUGAAGAAGGCCUUCGGGUUGUAAAGCUCUUUUGUCAGGGAAGAAACGGUAGUAGCGAAUAACUAUUACUAAUGACGGUACCUGAAGAAUAAGCACCGGCUAACUACGUGCCAGCAGCCGCGGUAAUACGUAGGGUGCAAGCGUUAAUCGGAAUUACUGGGCGUAAAGCGUGCGCAGGCGGUUGUGUAAGUCAGAUGUGAAAUCCCCGGGCUCAACCUGGGAAUUGCAUUUGAGACUGCACGGCUAGAGUGUGGCAGAGGGGGGUAGAAUUCCACGUGUAGCAGUGAAAUGCGUAGAUAUGUGGAGGAAUACCGAUGGCGAAGGCAGCCCCCUGGGAUAACACUGACGCUCAUGCACGAAAGCGUGGGGAGCAAACAGGAUUAGAUACCCUUGUAGUCCCAUG